GUUUGAUCCUGGCUCAGGACGAACGCUGGCGGCGUGCCUAACACAUGCAAGUCGAGCGAAUGAAGUUCCUUCGGGAACGGAUUUAGCGGCGGACGGGUGAGUAACACGUGGGCAACCUGCCUCAUAGAGGGGAAUAGCCUUCCGAAAGGGAGAUUAAUACCGCAUAAGAUUGUAGUACCGCAUGGUACAGCAAUUAAAGGAGCAAUCCGCUAUGAGAUGGGCCCGCGGCGCAUUAGCUAGUUGGUGAGGUAACGGCUCACCAAGGCGACGAUGCGUAGCCGACCUGAGAGGGUGAUCGGCCACAUUGGGACUGAGACACGGCCCAGACUCCUACGGGAGGCAGCAGUGGGGAAUAUUGCACAAUGGGGGAAACCCUGAUGCAGCAACGCCGCGUGAGUGAUGACGGUCUUCGGAUUGUAAAGCUCUGUCUUUAGGGACGAUAAUGACGGUACCUAAGGAGGAAGCCACGGCUAACUACGUGCCAGCAGCCGCGGUAAUACGUAGGUGGCAAGCGUUGUCCGGAUUUACUGGGCGUAAAGGGAGCGUAGGUGGAUAUUUAAGUGGGAUGUGAAAUACCCGGGCUUAACCUGGGUGCUGCAUUCCAAACUGGAUAUCUAGAGUGCAGGAGAGGAAAGGAGAAUUCCUAGUGUAGCGGUGAAAUGCGUAGAGAUUAGGAAGAAUACCAGUGGCGAAGGUGCCUUUCUGGACUGUAACUGACACUGAGGCUCGAAAGCGUGGGGAGCAAACAGAAGUAGAUCCCCUGGUAGUCCCCCCCCGUAAACGAAGAAUACUUAGGUGGGGGGGGUGUUCAUGCCCUCCGGUCCGCCCGCUAACGCAUUAAGUAUUCCGCUUGGGGAGUACGGUCGCAGAAUUAAAAUUCAAAGAAAUGACGGGGGCCCCGCACAAGCAGCGGAGCAUGUGGUUUAAUUGAAGCAACGCGAAGAACUUACCUUAGACUUGACAUCUCCUGAAUUACUCUGUAAUGGAGGAAGCCGCUUCGGCGGCAGGAAGACAGGUGGUGCAUGGUUGUCGUCAGCUCGUGUCGUGAGAUGUUGGGUUAAGUCCCGCAACGAGCGCAACCCUUAUUGUUAGCUGCUACCAUUUAGUUGAGCACUCUAGCGAGACUGCCCGGGUUAACCGGGAGGAAGGUGGGGAUGACGUCAAAUCAUCAUGCCCCUUAUGUCUAGGGCUACACACGUGCUACAAUGGCUGGUACAGAGAGAUGCGAUACCGCGAGGUGGAGCCAAACUUUAAAACCAGUCUCAGUUCGGAUUGUAGGCUGAAACUCGCCUACAUGAAGCUGGAGUUGCUAGUAAUCGCGAAUCAGAAUGUCGCGGUGAAUACGUUCCCGGGCCUUGCAC
This 1361-nucleotide ribosomal RNA is filed under the name synthetic construct. RNAcentral's name for it is "bacterial SSU rRNA". It matches the Rfam family "Bacterial small subunit ribosomal RNA", at positions 11 to 1386 of the family's 1533-position model. The record is from RNAcentral. RNAcentral also lists the same sequence under 1 other name.